Unclassified non-coding RNA from Macaca fascicularis (crab-eating macaque), 148 nucleotides. It matches the Rfam family "Metazoan signal recognition particle RNA". From Rfam's summary of the family: The signal recognition particle (SRP) is a universally conserved ribonucleoprotein. It is involved in the co-translational targeting of proteins to membranes. NCBI's taxonomy places the organism in Eukaryota, Metazoa, Chordata, Mammalia, Primates, Cercopithecidae. The record is from Ensembl.
GCCGGGCGCGGUGGCGGGCGCCUGUAGUCCUAGCUACUCAGGAGGCUGAGGCAGGAGAAUGGCGUGAACCCAGGAGGCGGAGCUUGCAGUGAGCCGAGAUCGCGCCACUGCACUCCAGCCUGGGUAACAGCGUGAGACUCCGUCUCAA